GACGAACGCUGGCGGCGUGCUUAACACAUGCAAGUCGAGCGGAAAGGCCCUUCGGGGUACUCGAGCGGCGAACGGGUGAGUAACACGUGAGUAACCUGCCCCAGACUUUGGGAUAACCCUCGGAAACGGGGGCUAAUACCGGAUACGAAACAGAUUCGAAUGGGGUCUGAGUGGAAAGGUUUUCGGUUUGGGAUGGGCUCGCGGCGUAUCAGCUUGUUGGUGGGGUGAUGGCCUACCAAGGCGACGACGGGUAGCCGGCCUGAGAGGGCGACCGGCCACACUGGUACUGAGACACGGCCCAGACUCCUACGGGAGGCAGCAGUGGGGAAUAUUGCACAAUGGGCGGAAGCCUGAUGCAGCGACGCCGCGUGAGGGAUGACGGCCUUCUGGUUGUAAACCUCUUUCAGCAGGGACGAAGCGUAAGUGACGGUACCUGCAGAAGAAGCGCCGGCCAACUACGUG
This 462-nucleotide ribosomal RNA is filed under the name uncultured bacterium. RNAcentral describes it as "partial 16S ribosomal RNA". It matches the Rfam family "Bacterial small subunit ribosomal RNA", at positions 28 to 507 of the family's 1533-position model. The record is from RNAcentral.